GGUUAAAAAGCUCGUAGUUGGAUCUCGGCGGGCAGGGGGUGGUUCGCUCUUCAGCGCUACUGCCCCGCUUUGCCCGUGUGAUUGGCGGAGGUUUCGGGGUGCUCUUCGUUGAGUGACUCGGAGCGCCGUCAGGUUUACUUUGAAAAAAUUAGAGUGCUCAAAGCAGGCUUUUCACGCUUGAAUAUUCGUGCAUGGAAUAAUGGAAUAGGAACUCGUUUCUAUUUUGUUGGUUUUCGGAAAUCGAGUUAAUGAUUAACAGGGACAAUUGGGGGCAUUAGUAUUCAGACGACAGAGGUGAAAUUCUUGGACCGUCUGAAGACUGACUACUGCGAAAGCAUUUGCCAAGAGUGUUUUCAUUAAUCAAGAACGAAAGUUAGAGGUUCGAAGGCGAUCAGAUACCGCCCUAGUUCUAACCAUAAACGAUGCCAGCUAGCGAUCUGCCGAGUUUUUUUUGUAGGCUCCGCAGGAAGCUUUCGGGAAACCAAAGCUUUUGGGUUCCGGGGGAAGUAUGGUUGCAAAGCUGAAACUUAAAGGAAUUGAC
This 541-nucleotide ribosomal RNA is filed under the name uncultured marine eukaryote. RNAcentral describes it as "SSU rRNA". It matches the Rfam family "Eukaryotic small subunit ribosomal RNA", at positions 617 to 1157 of the family's 1831-position model. The record is from RNAcentral.